CAUGCCGUAAACGUUGGGAACUAGAUGUAGGGCCUGUUCCACGGGUUCUGUGUCGUAGCUAACGCAUUAAGUUCCCCGCCUGGGGAGUACGGCCGCAAGGCUAAAACUCAAAGGAAUUGACGGGGGCCCGCACAAGCGGCGGAGCAUGCGGAUUAAUUCGAUGCAACGCGAAGAACCUUACCAAGGCUUGACAUAUACCAGAACACCCUGGAAACAGGGGACUCUUUGGACACUGGUAUACAGGUGG
RNAcentral lists this ribosomal RNA (247 nucleotides) under uncultured Leucobacter sp. Its description in RNAcentral is "partial 16S ribosomal RNA". It matches the Rfam family "Bacterial small subunit ribosomal RNA", at positions 796 to 1041 of the family's 1533-position model. The record is from RNAcentral. Lineage: Bacteria; Bacillati; Actinomycetota; Actinomycetes; Micrococcales; Microbacteriaceae.